This 76-nucleotide transfer RNA is filed under the name Wolbachia endosymbiont of Tyrophagus putrescentiae. RNAcentral describes it as "tRNA-Thr". It matches the Rfam family "tRNA". Rfam says of the family: Transfer RNA (tRNA) molecules are approximately 80 nucleotides in length. Their secondary structure includes four short double-helical elements and three loops (D, anti-codon, and T loops). The record is from RNAcentral. Lineage: Bacteria; Pseudomonadati; Pseudomonadota; Alphaproteobacteria; Rickettsiales; Anaplasmataceae.
GCCGUUGUAGCUCAGGUGGUAGAGUACGUCAUUGGUAAUGACGAGGUCCCAAGUUCGAGUCUUGGUAACGGCACCA